CCCGAAGUAGGAAGAGUUAAUUUAUUUAUAGUUAGCGUGUUACAGCUAUUAUUAAAAUAAAUUAGAGGUGAUAUACUAAUCAAUUGCUAUAUAUCUGGUUUAACUUGUUCAAAUUAAAUUUAUAUGUAGAUUUAAAAAUCUAUUUAAAUAAAGUAGAGGGGAAAGCUUUCUAUAGGGUAGACUAUAAAUGUAUGUUUAUGGAAGGUUUAAUAAUUUUCAUUGUUUAAGAUAAAAUUUUAUCACUCUAAGAAGGUUAAGCUAAAAAAAAUUUUUUUAAGUAGAGAAUAAUAAAUAUAUUAGUAGUUGUCAAUUAUAGUUAAUAGUUAAAUUUAUUAUAGAUUUUAUAAGAGGGGAAUCCAUAAAGAACUCGGCAAAACUAAUUUCGCAUGUUUACCAAAAACAUCUCUUGAAAUAUUUCAAGUAACCUCUGCCCUAUGAAUAGUUUAAAUGGCCGCAGUACUUUGACUGUGCAAAGGUAGCAUAAUCACUUGUCUCUUAAUUGGGGGCUGGAAUGAAGGAGGCGACGAAAUUUAGGCUAUUUAGUUAUAAAGCAAAAUUAACAUAAAGGUCAAAAGGCCUUUAUAAACCAAAGGGACGAUAAGACCCUAUAAAACUUUACUAUACAGUAGGUUGUUUAGAUAAGAUUUAAAUUAUAGUUUGACUGGGGCGGUUUACAUAAAAACAAUAGAAGUAGAAAUAUUUUAAAUAAAUUUAGAGAGCUCUGAAAGGAAAUGAGCAAGUUACUUUAGGGAUAACAGCAUAAUACUCCCAGAGAGUCCUAAUUGGCGGGAGAGCUUAUGACCUCGAUGUUGAAUUGGGAAGUCUAAUAUAAGUAGAAAUAUAUUAAGAUAGUCUGUUCGACUAUUAAAUUCCCACAUGAUUUGAGUUCAGACCGGCGCGAGCCAGGUUGGUUUCUAUCUUUUGGAAGAUGUGGGUUUAAAUUGUACGAAAGGACCUUUGAGC
This 963-nucleotide ribosomal RNA is filed under the name Proasellus escolai. RNAcentral's name for it is "16S ribosomal RNA". It matches the Rfam family "Bacterial large subunit ribosomal RNA", at positions 714 to 2700 of the family's 2925-position model. The record is from RNAcentral. Lineage: Eukaryota; Metazoa; Arthropoda; Malacostraca; Isopoda; Asellidae.